Molecule: long non-coding RNA, 1729 nt
Filed under: Lathyrus oleraceus (garden pea)
Lineage: Eukaryota; Viridiplantae; Streptophyta; Magnoliopsida; Fabales; Fabaceae
Description: Pisum sativum (pea) long non-coding RNA (PSAT_LNC015153)
Source: RNAcentral
GUUUUGCCGUUGUUGAAUUCUAUUUUAAAGUAUAAUUUCUUUCAAUUUUUUGAAAGACAUGUGCUAUUUAAUAUUAAAUCACUUUAAAUAUUUGUUACUUUUAAAUCUUCCUUUUAAUAUAACACAAUCAAUAAAAUUAAAAGUAAAUGUUAACAAAAAACAAUAUGUUAAUUAUUCUGUAUUUUAGCAACUGCAAAUUCGGAAGUUAAAUUUAACAUAAUCAAACAUUAAUAUAUAUCAAAACAAAAAACUUAGUUACUUCAGAUUGAAAUAUUCUUACAACAACUUUAAUAAUUUAUUCUAAUUUUUAUUAUUUUAUAGUAAUAUUAACUAUAAAUUACAAGCCCUUUUUCGAGAUAUAUUCAUUAUUGUCUCUUGUUUUGAAAAUUUGAACAUAGUUUAACAUUAAUACAUAAAUUAGAAAAACAAACUUUUGUCUUAAUAAUGUUACUUUUGAAAUUAAUAAUUAUUUAUUCUUUAGUUUUGUUUCAACACAUUUUCAAAAAAAAAAUUCUAUAUACUUUUAAGAUCAAUGGUUUUGAAGUUGAUUCUCUAGGUGCUAAUGUAAAAAAUCACGUCUAUAGUUGACAUUAUUGGAUAAAUGAGUAGAUUAGUGGGCGACGACGUCCGACUUUAAGAUGGGUUUUCUCUCUAAAUACAUUGAACUUCAUAAUGCCCAUAGAAUCAAAACAAACUGUAUUGUCCACACUUUCAAUCAUUAUAUGAAGUUUGAUGUCGUUGGCAAUGACAAAAUUAUUGUCGAAUCAAGUACAAUUCUUGAAAACUAUCUUAUUAUAUAUUAAUAAAUGUUAUGUAAUGAUAAAUUUAAACUUACAUCGAAUUUAAAGAAAUAUUGUAAUGCAAAAUGAUGUUUUGCCGUUGUUGAAUUCUACUUUAAAGUAUAAUUUCUUUCAAUUUUUUGAAAGACAUCUGCUAUUUAAUAUUAAAUCACUUUAAUUAUUUGUUACUUUUAAAUCUUCCUUUAAUAUAACACAAUCAACAAAAUUAAAAGUAAAUGUUAACAAAAACUAAUAUGUUAAUUAUUAUGUAUUUUAGCAACUGCAAAUUCGAAAGUUAAAUUGAACAUAAUCAAACAUUAAUAUAAAUAAAAACAAAAAACUUAGUUAAUUCAGAUUAAAAUAUUCUUACAACAACUUCAAUAAUUUAUUCAAAUUUUUAUUAUUUUAUAGUAAUAUUAACUAUAAAUUACAACCCCUUUUUCGAGAUAUAUUCAUUAUUGUCUCUUGUUUCGAAAUUUUGAACAUAAUUUAACGUUAAUACAUCAAUUAGAAAAACAAACUUUUGUCUUACUAAUGUCACUUUCGAAAUUAAUAAUUAUUUAUUCUUUAGUUUUGUUUCUACACAUUUUCAAUAAAAAAUUCUAUAUACUUUUAAGAUCAAUGGUUUUGAAGUUGAUUCUAUAGGUGCUAAUGUAAAAAAUCACGUCUAUGGUUGACAUUAUUGGAUAAAUGAGUAGAUUAGUGGACAACGACGUCCGACUUUAAGAUGGGUUUUUUCUCUCUAAAUACAUUGAACUUCAUAAUGCCCAUAGAAUCAAAACAAACUGUAUUGUCCACACUUUCAAUCAUUAUAUGAAGUUUGAUGUCGUUGGCAAUGACAAAAUUAUUGUCGAAUCAAGUACAAUUCUUGAAAACUAUCUUAUUAUAUAUUAAUAAAUGUUAUGUAAUGAUAAAUUUAAACUUACAUCGAAUUUAAAGAAAUAUUGUAA